Molecule: ribosomal RNA, 253 nt
Filed under: uncultured bacterium
Lineage: Bacteria
Description: partial 16S ribosomal RNA
Rfam family: Bacterial small subunit ribosomal RNA
Source: RNAcentral
GACAGAGGGUGCUAGCGUUGUUCGGAAUUACUGGGCGUAAAGGGCGCGUAGGCGGCCCGUUUAGUCGGGUGUGAAAUCCCAAGGCUCAACCUUGGAACUGCAUUCGAUACUGGCGGGCUAGAGACCGGAAGAGGUGGGUGGAAUACCCAGUGUAGAGGUGAAAUUCGUAGAUAUUGGGUGGAACACCGGUGGCGAAGGCGGCUCACUGGUCCGGUUCUGACGCUGAGGAGCGAAAGCGUGGGGAGCGAACAGG